This 778-nucleotide ribosomal RNA is filed under the name uncultured Neocallimastigales. RNAcentral describes it as "partial large subunit ribosomal RNA". It matches the Rfam family "Eukaryotic large subunit ribosomal RNA", at positions 23 to 638 of the family's 3401-position model. The record is from RNAcentral. Lineage: Eukaryota; Fungi; Neocallimastigomycota; Neocallimastigomycetes; Neocallimastigales.
GAGACUCUGUGCGCGUGCAUAUCAAUAAGCGGAGGAAAAGAAACUAACAAGGAUUCCCCUUAGUAACGGCGAGUGAAGCGGGAAGAGCUCAAAUUUGAAAUCUUAAAGGGUUCUCCCUUGACGAAUUGUAGUUUAUAGAAGUGUUUUCUAUUAGAGUUUCGGUAAAAGUUCUUUGGAAUAGGACAUCAUAGAGGGUGAGAAUCCCGUAUUUGACCGUUACUUUCCAGCUGUGUGAUACACUUUCAAAGAGUCGGAUUGUUUGGGAAUGCAGUCCAAAAUGGGUGGUAAAUUUCAUCUAAAGCUAAAUAUUGGCGAGAGACCGAUAGCGGAACAAGUACCGUGAGGGAAAGAUGAAAAGAACUUUGAAAGAGAGAGUUAAACAGUACGUGAAAUUGUCAAAAGGGAAGCGUUUGACACCAGUGUUGUUUAGUUGAAAAUCAAUUCAAUAGUUUUUGAUUUAAGUAGUAUUGACUUCAUCAGCUUGCUGCUUUCUUUUCAGGAAUUAUUGAAUGCACUUUUCAGUUAACAAGUCAACAUCAAUUUCUUUUGUUGUAAAAGGGUAAGAGGAAGGUGGCUUACGCUUCGGCGUAAGUGUUUAUAGCCUUUUACCUCUGCAAUCGGAGAGAUUGAGGACAGCAGCGUAGACUCUUCGGGGUUAGAUACACUUGUGCUAAGCUAUAGCCUUGUAUAGACAACUUGUUGACUAUGCUCAGUCAUGUAGCUUACUCGCUUGUGCUAUUUUACCUACGCUUAGGAUGUUGACAGCAGUAUAGACUGU